RNAcentral lists this ribosomal RNA (482 nucleotides) under uncultured bacterium. RNAcentral's name for it is "bacterial SSU rRNA". It matches the Rfam family "Bacterial small subunit ribosomal RNA", at positions 29 to 534 of the family's 1533-position model. The record is from RNAcentral.
AGCGAACGCUAGCGGCGGGCCUAACACAUGCAAGUCGAGCGGAGAACUUCGGUUCUCAGCGGCGGACGGGUGAGUAACGCGUAGGUAAUGUGCCUUCUGGUGGGGAACAACCGUGCGAAAGCAUGGCUAAUACCGCAUAUGUCGAGAGAUGAAAGCCUUCGGGCGCCAGUAGAGCAGCCUGCGUCCCAUUAUUUAGUCCUAGUUGGUGAGGUAACGGCUCACCAAGGGUACGAUGGGUAGCUGGUCUGAGAGGAUGAUCAGCCACACUGGAACUGAGACACGGUCCGGACUCCUACGGGAGGCAGCAGUGGGGAAUAUUGCGCAAUGGGCGAAAGCCUGACGCAGCCACGCCGCGUGAGUGAUGAAGGCCUCGGUUGUAAGACGUCUGUCGGGAGGGAAGGAAGGACGGCAAGCCUGACGGUACCUCGCAAGAAAGACACCGGCUAACUACUGUGCCAGCAGCCGCGGUAAGUAGUACGUGU